This 433-nucleotide ribosomal RNA is filed under the name uncultured bacterium. RNAcentral's name for it is "partial 16S ribosomal RNA". It matches the Rfam family "Bacterial small subunit ribosomal RNA", at positions 29 to 507 of the family's 1533-position model. The record is from RNAcentral.
AACGAACGCUGGCGGCAUGCCUAACACAUGCAAGUCGAACGAGACCUUCGGGUCUAGUGGCGCACGUGUGCGUACCGCGUGGGAACCUGCCCUUAGGUUCGGAAUAACUCCCCGAAAGGGGUGCUAAUACCGGUUAAUCUCUUCGGACCAAAGAUUUAUCGCCUUUGGAUGGGCCCGCGUUGGAUUAGCUAGUUGGUAGGGUAAAAGCCUACCAAGGCGACGAUCCAUAGCUGGUCUGAGAGGAUGAUCAGCCACACUGGGACUGAGACACGGCCCAGACUCCUACGGGAGGGAGGAGUGGGGAAUAUUGGACAAUGAGCGAAAGCCUGAUCCAGCAGUGCCGCGUGAGUGAUGAAGGCCUUAGGGUUGUAAAGCUCUUUUACCCGGGAUGAUAAUGACAGUACCGGGAGAAGAAGCUCCGGCUAACUCCGUG